UGCUAUAGAUGAUAAAAUAUAAAUAAUACUCUAUACGUGAUUUAUUUUUUAAUUUUUUUAUAAAGUUUUUAAAUAAAAUGAACGUCACAUAAACCCUUACAACUACACUUAAAAUACUACUAGGAUGGAGCGAGUACUAUUUUGAGCUAGAAAUACGCCGCUGAAAAGUUGAAAAAGAGAUUUGAAAAAGGAGAAAAAAAAUCACGAAAAAGCGCGGAACAAAAGCUUCUCCCCCUUGUCGCCCGCAAUGGCGUCUCCCACUCGCAGCCUUCUCCUCCUCCUCACUCCCCCACACGAGCUCCGCCGCCUCCCCAUCCCCCCCGGGAACCCUACACUCCUCCCCGCGCGGCCGGUGAUGGCGUCGACCCCGCCGCCGCCGCCGGUGAUAGGCAAGGCGGGCAACCUCACGGUCUUCAUCACGCCGCCGUCGCCGUCGGAGGCGGAGGCGGAGGGGUCGCCGGACUCCCCGCGGUCGGAGUUCACCACCCCCAGCGGAUCCCCCCGCGCGGCCGAGGAUUCGACGCCGCCUCCUUCUCCGCCGCGGGCCGGAGCAGCCGCCGGUCAAGGAGGAGGCGCCGGCGUCCUCCCCGCAGCUGGCCACCCCGCCGCCGGUGAAGACGGUCUCACCGCCGCUGCCCGCCGCGAAGCUCUCCUCCGCCGCCGCCCCUCGGCCUCCGCCGCCGGUGCAGGUGCCACUGCCUUCCGCGAAGCUCUCGGCCCCUAGGCCCCCGCCGACGCCGCCGCCGGUGCAGGUGCCGCCGCCGCAGUUCGAGAAGGCGGAGGCGAGGCCCGAUGGAUCCAUGCUCGCCUUGUUCUGGGACACGGUCGCGCGCGUGCAAGAAGCGCACGCCAGCUUGGACGAGUACAUCUCGAACUGGUUCGGGCUGGAUCAAUCCAAGUACCAGUGGGCUCUCAACGAGUACUAUGAGAGCAACGGAAAGGAUAUGGAGUCAGGGAAAGCUGCGAAGCCGAAGGAACUCGGUAGUAAAAUGUAGGUCUAAAAAGCUGGAUUACAUCUGUAUAUGUCAAUGGGGACAUCUCUUCGAUUCUCGCCAAUUCAGUUCGAUUUUAUGUCGUAUCUGUCUACCAUGCAGCAAUUCCUUUGUUUGCUUCAUUUGUGUAGCUAAGCUAGAGAACUGUGUGAAGUUUCACUGGGAAGUUGAUACCUCUUCUGCUGCAACUAGCAGGCCCGGACACAAUCUGUAAUCUGUUCGUGCCAAAGCGUUGAAAAAAGUCCAGUGCGGCAAAAAGCAUUUUGUUGGCUCCUCGCACCAAUGUGUAGCCCUACGUAUUCUUUACAACAUUUUGCGUUGUAAUUGCAUGGUGCUAAUAUUCUGCGAAUGUUUUCUGUGCU
This is a non-coding RNA of Oryza sativa Japonica Group (Japanese rice), 1354 nucleotides long. The record is from RefSeq and is a predicted model, not a curated record. Lineage: Eukaryota; Viridiplantae; Streptophyta; Magnoliopsida; Poales; Poaceae.